Molecule: transfer RNA, 92 nt
Filed under: Sphingobium herbicidovorans NBRC 16415
Lineage: Bacteria; Pseudomonadati; Pseudomonadota; Alphaproteobacteria; Sphingomonadales; Sphingobiaceae
Description: tRNA-OTHER
Source: RNAcentral
CGCCGUCCAUGGCAUUGUCCAGAUGCCGGGAAGCCUCCUGUGGCUUCAGGCGCAAUGUGCGCUUGGCCAGUUCGAGUCCGCCGACGACGACC